AGGACGUUAAAAAUAUUUUUUUUUAAUUACUACUUAUUUUAAAUUUAUUUAUUUUUACCUUUUUAUUUUAAAACUAUAAUAUAACUUAUAGCUUGAGAAAAUAUUUUGUUUUGUUUUUUAAAAGAUUUCGAAUAUAAAAUAACACAAUAAUAAGUCAAUUUUCAAGGACAUCUUACAACGUUUUAAAGCUAUAAUAGUUCCAACUAGUGACAUCUUUUAACAGGCUUAUGGUGGAUUAAAAGUAAUAUAGGCCAAUCAUUAGGCAUUAAUUGGCGAUUUAUAUAUAGAUUUAAAACUGAAGUUCUGUUAUUAAAGUUUUAGAGACUUUAAAACUAAUGUACAAUAGUUCUCAAUAAAAAUAAAAAAAUUCCUUAAAUAGAAUUUUUGAAAAUUUUAUCUAAAAUAUACAACCAAUUGAUACAAAAAUCUUAAAAAAUACUCAUCUAUCAACAAAAAUUCUUGUUAUCCUAAUUUCUAAAUCACAACCCCAAAUCUACAAUAUUUCUAUAAAAAAAAUGAAAACUUUCUUAAAAUAAAAUUUUUGAAAAUUAUUUUUAAAAAAUACAACUAUUGAUCAAAAAAUCUAAAAGAAUACACAUUUAUCAACAAAAAUUCUUGUUAUCGAAAUUUCUAAAUCAGAACCCCAAAACUACAAUAGUUCUCAAUAAAAAUAAAAACUUUCCUUAAAUAGAAUUUUAGACAAUUUAUCUAAAAUAUACAACCUAUUGAUAAAUUUUUUUUAAAGAAUACACAUCUAGCAACAAAUGUUUUUUCAAAAUCAAAACCUCAAAACUACAAUAGUUCUCAAUAGAAAUAAAAACUUUCCUUAAAUAGAAUUUUUGAGAAUUUUAUCUAAAAUAUACAACCUAUUGAUAAAAAAAAAUCUUAAAAAAUACUCAUCUAUCAACAAAAAUUCUUAUUAUCCUAAUUUAUAAAUCACAACCCCAAAUCAACAAAAUUUCUAUUAAAAAUUAAAACUUUCCUAUAAUAGAAUUUUUGAGAAUUUUAUCUAAAAAAAAACACUUAUUGAUCAAAAACCUAAAAUAAUACUCAUCUACCAACAAAAGUUCUUGUUAUCCUAAUUUAUAAAUCACAAUCACAAUCUCAAAUCUACAAUAUUUCUACAAAAAAUGAAAAAUAUCCUAAAAUAGAAUUGUUGAGAAUUAUUUUUUAAAAAUACAACUAUUUAUCAAAAAGUCUAAAAGAAUACACAUCUAUCAACAAAAAAUCUUUGUUAUCAAAAUUCCCAAAUCAGAACCCCAAAACUACAAUAGUUCUCAAUAAAAAUAAAACUUUCAUUAAACAAAAUUUUUGAGAAUUUUAUCUUAAAUAUACAACUAAUUGAUAAAAAAAUCUUAAAAAAUACUCAUCUAUCAAAAAAUUCUUGUUAUCCUAAUUUCUAAAUCACAACCCCAAAUCUACAAUAUUUCUAUAAAAAAUAAAAAAAAAAUCCUAAAAUAGAAUUUUUGAAAAUAAUUUUUUAAAAAUACAACUAGUGAUCAACAAAUCUAAAAGAAGACACAUCUAUCAACAAAAAUUCUUGUUAUCAUAAUUUCUAAAGCAGAACCCCAAAAAUACAAUAGUUCUCAAUAAAAAUAAAAUAUUUCCUUAAAUAAAAUUUUUGAUAAUUUUAUCUAAAAUAUACAACUAAUUGAUAAAAAAAAUCUUAAAAAAUCUUAGAAAAUACUCAUCGAUCAACAAAAAUUCUUGUUAUCCUAAUUUCUAAAUCAGAACACCAAAAUUACAAUAGUUCUCAAUAAAAAUAAAAACUUUUCUUAAAUAGAAUUUUUGAGAAUUGUAUCUAAAAUAUACAACCUAUUGAUAAAAAAAUCUUAAAAAAUACUCAUCUAUCACCAAAAAUUCUUGUUAUUCUAAUUUCUAAAUCGCAACCCCUAAUCUACAAUAUUUCUAUAAAACAUUAAAACUUUCCUAAAAUAGAAUUUUUGAGAUUUAUUUUUAAAAAAUAAAACAAUUGAUCAAAAAAUCUUAAAAAAUACUCAUCUAUAAUAAAAAAAAUUCUUGUUGUCCUAAUUUCUAAAUCAAAACGCCAAAUCCACAAUAUUAUUCACAAAAAUGAAAAAUUUCCAAAAAUAGAAUUUUUGAGAAUCUUAUAUAAUAAAAUAGACUUUUCUCCCUCACUCAUGCUGCCACAUCAUCUGGGAGAAGAGGGCAAAACAUGCCACGUGGCAACUCUUUAUUCCGCUACUAGCUGCGAAAGAAUAAAGGGAUAUGGGCUUUUUUACUUAAAAAUUGUUGGUGAUGGGCUCUGUUUGUCCUAGAGCUUCAGUAGACGGUAUAAACAAACAAAUCUGAAUCCUGACGAUCCUAUUUCCCCUUACAGGCGAUGAAACUUUCAACCGUUUUGACAUUCAAUCCAUCGAACCCGCUAAUCCCCACUAUCUCAUCUUUAUUGUGCUUUUACUUCGAUGUUCUUAAGCUUCUACCGGUAUAUAUGCAGACCUAGACCUUCAGAGUUGCCUCUUCAAUCCCUCUUCUUCUUCCGAUUCAUCUUCUCUUUCAGUCUCAAUCAAUAUUUCCACUGCCCAGACCCAUUUUCCGAGUUUAAGGGAUGCUGAUGCAGUCUGGCCCAGACGCAACCUCUCCGCUUCUAAGAGGCUAGGUAUGUUUAAAAAAAGGAGGCCAAUUGAUAUGCUGCUUCUUGAUGCAAGCUUCUUCCCAGGAAACGGAAACUGCGAUUCAGGCGUCUAUUAAGUGAUGUAACACGUAGCAUCCCUAGCUUCCGCUUUAGCCAGUCCACGCACUGACCAAACCGUGUUCGUUGAGCUUCACGAACCGUUUGAAGCAAUCCCGACUGAGAGUUUCAGGUUCCACAAUUACAAUCAGCCACUCAAAUAUCUGUCUAAGUGUAGUGGCACCAACAUCAGCCCCAAAUUAUUUGGAGGGAGACUUUACCUAAAUGCAAUCUCUGCCACUCAUCUCUAUUUUGGUAAUGAGUAUUUUGGUAAUGAGUGUGAUGCUGGGAGAAGUUAUCUCCAGAGUGCGUAAGGAUCAACCUCAAACCCUACAAAGUAUCAGAUUGUUAAGAAGAUUGAGGCAAUGACGUGGCAGAACUAAAUGACUACGCCCUCAAAUUGUACCUCAGCGGAGAUGACCACCCAGUCGAUGAUAUGCCAGGGGCUGGAGCUGUCAAAAGAAGCCCCAUUGAUGGGGUCAAUAGCAGUGGCGUGAAUGAAGGUGGGUGUAUCGAAACUGCUCAUGUCUAAGGUGGAGAAGAGGAGCGCCAAGUAACAACUCAGGUGAAGGUGGGAACCGAAGCGAGGAUGCUCAAGUCAACAAGAGCAAGUUGAGUCCUCUGGAAAUAAACCACGGACUGAGUGAUGAAGCACAACAAGGGGAGUUGAAGUUAUAAGACAUGUGAACAUGUCUGUCGCAUUAGGCUUUUUAAUUUAUUUUACAAAACAAUGAAGUCAGAGUACUUCAAGUAGUUUACAUAUUAAGUUCUAUUGCUUCACUGUCACUCUAUUUGCUUCCGCUUAAACUGCUACAAUCAAAUAAACUUGAACGGAGCUCAUUUCAACCACAAUUACUGAAAGAUCAAGCUCUGCUAUUCCACCAAAACCAAGGUAAUUAAUUGCUCACUGAGCAAAGGUAUGGAAAUUCUUUGAAUUUGCUCUCCACGUGAAAGAGCUGAAUGUAUUUUUUUCUUUUUUUCUUUUUUUGUAUUUGAUUCAGUUUGAGUUACAAUAUGUGUUUAAGACUUUUAGAUGCUUUUAUUUUUUGAUGCAAGUUGUUAUCUCUUCUAUUUUAUGGUUCUAAACUUGUGAUGUGAGCAUCUUUGAUCACUAAGUUUGAAACUUUUGUGAUUCAUCUUAAACUUGAACAAUGAGUUACAAUGAUGAUAAGUUUUCUUUUUGACAAAAGAUUCUCUUGAAUAAUUUAAAUUAAGAUUCAGCGAGAAAAAAAGAAACACCACCGCAAUGCAAAAGCUAGGAAGAGAUUCAUCCACCAAACAUGGUACCGUUGAAUAAAUAUAAUCAUUAGUAAUGAGUGGUAGAGGUAAUGGUAUAGAAACCAGACGAUGGAGUGGCAGCUACAUCCGUCCCGUCCGACAAUGAAGAAGUAAACAGAGCACAUGCUAUGUUUUUUUACGACAGAGAGCAGAUGUAUCACCAAUAAGAACAUGUGUUUUUAAGAUAUUUGCUUAUCACCAAUAAUGGUUUUCCCGGGUGAAGAAUGGGCCUUCUGAAGGAUGGCCCAUUAGUUGUAUCUUAGCGCACAGACUAACAUACACUUUCUCAAAUUAGUUAUCUCCUCCGCUGUUUAGCAGCAAAGUCAACAUUUGCUCAAACGAGAAACCUAAGAGUUCAGAUUAACUAAUGUACAUCUGAGGAUGUCCAGAAGAGUUCAACACACAAACAAAGAAACUAAGGAAAAUAAAAAA
Long non-coding RNA from Brassica rapa (field mustard), 4402 nucleotides. RefSeq lists it as uncharacterized. NCBI's taxonomy places the organism in Eukaryota, Viridiplantae, Streptophyta, Magnoliopsida, Brassicales, Brassicaceae. The record is from RefSeq and is a predicted model, not a curated record.